RNAcentral lists this ribosomal RNA (497 nucleotides) under uncultured bacterium. RNAcentral describes it as "partial 16S ribosomal RNA". It matches the Rfam family "Bacterial small subunit ribosomal RNA", at positions 28 to 507 of the family's 1533-position model. The record is from RNAcentral.
GACGAACGCUGGCGGCGUGCCUAAUACAUGCCAGUAGAACGCUGAAGAGAGGAGCUUGCUCUUCUUGGAUGAGUUGCGAACGGGUGAGUAACGCGUAGGUAACCUGCCUUGUAGCGGGGGAUAACUAUUGGAAACGAUAGCUAAUACCGCAUAACAAUGGAUGACACAUGUCAUUUAUUUGAAAGGGGCAAUUGCUCCACUACAAGAUGGACCUGCGUUGUAUUAGCUAGUAGGUGAGGUAAUGGCUCACCUAGGCGACGAUACAUAGCCGACCUGAGAGGGUGAUCGGCCACACUGGGACUGAGACACGGCCCAGACUCCUACGGGAGGCAGCAGUAGGGAAUCUUCGGCAAUGGGGGCAACCCUGACCGAGCAACGCCGCGUGAGUGAAGAAGGGUGUCGGAUCGUAAAGCUCUGUUGUAAGUCAAGAACGGGUGUGAGAGUGGAAAGUUCACACUGUGACGGUAGCUUACCAGAAAGGGACGGCUAACUACGUG